GAUAGAGUGACUGAAUUAUUAGGUGAUAAAUUGUAAAUUUAUUUAUGGCUUUGUUAGCCCUCUAUUA
RNAcentral lists this transfer RNA (67 nucleotides) under Glaucias dorsalis. Its description in RNAcentral is "tRNA-Tyr". Lineage: Eukaryota; Metazoa; Arthropoda; Insecta; Hemiptera; Pentatomidae. The record is from RNAcentral.